Non-coding RNA from Camelina sativa (false flax), 364 nucleotides. The record is from RefSeq and is a predicted model, not a curated record. Lineage: Eukaryota; Viridiplantae; Streptophyta; Magnoliopsida; Brassicales; Brassicaceae.
CACAAUCAGUUCUCAAACUUGUUUUACUCAAAUAUCAACAAAAAAAAGAAGAGGAUAUAUUCAUAUAUACACAGAGUUGUUUCAUCCUCGAGAAAAAUAACUAAUGGCAACAAAUAAGUUUUCAUCUGUUUUAUUACCUUCGUUGUUAAUUUUUUCUCUCAUCCUUUUGCCUAUGAUUUCAGGGCAAUAUUACCAAUGCAUUGGCGUAUGUACACUCACACCGGAAUGCUAUAGAAGAUGCAUGUCUAUGGGAUACCCAAGAGGAGGGGGGUGUCGAGUAUAUAGUUUUGGCCGUAUUUGUUGUUGUGAACUCAGUGCUAAACCUCCUUACUAAUUCAUUCUUAAUGCAUUAUCUAUAUCUGUA